Molecule: ribosomal RNA, 490 nt
Filed under: Staphylococcus aureus
Lineage: Bacteria; Bacillati; Bacillota; Bacilli; Caryophanales; Staphylococcaceae
Description: bacterial SSU rRNA
Rfam family: Bacterial small subunit ribosomal RNA
Source: RNAcentral
AAAGACGGUCUUGCUGUCACUUAUAGAUGGAUCCGCGCUGCAUUAGCUAGUUGGUAAGGUAACGGCUUACCAAGGCAACGAUGCAUAGCCGACCUGAGAGGGUGAUCGGCCACACUGGAACUGAGACACGGUCCAGACUCCUACGGGAGGCAGCAGUAGGGAAUCUUCCGCAAUGGGCGAAAGCCUGACGGAGCAACGCCGCGUGAGUGAUGAAGGUCUUCGGAUCGUAAAACUCUGUUAUUAGGGAAGAACAUAUGUGUAAGUAACUGUGCACAUCUUGACGGUACCUAAUCAGAAAGCCACGGCUAACUACGUGCCAGCAGCCGCGGUAAUACGUAGGUGGCAAGCGUUAUCCGGAAUUAUUGGGCGUAAAGCGCGCGUAGGCGGUUUUUUAAGUCUGAUGUGAAAGCCCACGGCUCAACCGUGGAGGGUCAUUGGAAACUGGAAAACUUGAGUGCAGAAGAGGAAAGUGGAAUUCCAUGUGUAGCGG